AGAUGGCGACCGGCGCACGGGUGAGUAACACGUAUCCAACCUGCCGAUAACUCGGGGAUAGCCUUUCGAAAGAAAGAUUAAUACCCGAUGGUAUAAUCAGACCGCAUGGUCUUGUUAUUAAAGAAUUUCGGUUAUCGAUGGGGAUGCGUUCCAUUAGGCAGUUGGUGAGGUAACGGCUCACCAAACCUUCGAUGGAUAGGGGUUCUGAGAGGAAGGUCCCCCACAUUGGAAUUGAGACACGGUCCAA
This 247-nucleotide ribosomal RNA is filed under the name uncultured bacterium. RNAcentral's name for it is "partial 16S ribosomal RNA". It matches the Rfam family "Bacterial small subunit ribosomal RNA", at positions 86 to 334 of the family's 1533-position model. The record is from RNAcentral.